Molecule: long non-coding RNA, 936 nt
Filed under: Homo sapiens (human)
Lineage: Eukaryota; Metazoa; Chordata; Mammalia; Primates; Hominidae
Description: hepatocellular carcinoma up-regulated long non- coding RNA
Source: RNAcentral
GAUGAGCUGACAGACCCUGGCUGAGCAGGAAGUGGCAGGGUCAGGAAAAGCUAGGCCACAAGUUUUCCCUUGAGAGCCUUAGAGUCUAGCCCUGUCGCCCAGGCUGGAGUGCCAUGGUUUGAACUCUACUCACCGCAACCUCCACCUCCCAGGUUCAAAUGAUUCUCCUGCCUCAGCCUCCUGAAUAUCUGGGAUUACAGGCUGGAGUGCGAUGGCGCGAUCUCUACUCACUGCAACCUCCAUCUCCUGGGUUCAAGCAAUUCUCCCUCAGCCUCCCGAGUAGCUAGGACUACAGAGCCUCCCUCUGGAGCGAAGUGGCAUAAUCUCGGCUCACUGCAACCUCUGCCUCCCAGGUUCAAGCGAUUCUCAUGUCUCGGCCUCUUGAGUAACUGGGAUUACAGGUGUCUUUGUGAAGCUUCCUAUCUUUGCUUUUCAACUAAGAUGAAACAGCAUUUAAAAGAAAAUGCCAUGUGAGAUGAGAUCAGGAGAAUGGAUUCUUUCUUUCAUCUGAAUAGAGAGCUGCUGUUCGAGGCUGACCCAAGUUAUGUAGCAGAAAGGAGGCCUCUCUCAACUUAGCUGACCAGCCUGAAUUCCUAACCAUAAAAAGAAGAACCUCACCAUUUAUCUCCUUGAAGUCGUGUCUUCCAAGGCUGUUGAAGCAGAACUCUAGCAUUCCUUAAGGACUUCAUCAUCUUUCAAGGUUGCUAAAGGGAGACUUUGGUGUUUCUGAUAAGAACCGAACCAGAUGCAGCCAGCUGAAGAUAAGAUGGACUCUAGAACUGACCUUUCAUCAACUUUUUUUCUUAUUAUAAUACUAAAAUCUCUGCCAAAGGUGGAGCUAAUCUGCCGCUCUCAGAUCACUCUAUGUCAGUUAGGGCGUAAUGUCUCAUUGCACAAGCUCUAAGAAAACCCCUAAACAUGCUUGCACAUCACUCC